CCUACGGGAGGCAGCAGUGAGGAAUAUUGGUCAAUGGACGGAAGUCUGAACCAGCCAUGCCGCGUGCAGGAAGACGGCUCUAUGAGUUGUAAACUGCUUUAGACAGGGAAGAAACAAGACAGUACCUGUAAAAUAAGCUCCGGCUAACUACGUGCCAGCAGCCGCGGUAAUACGUAGGGAGCAAGCGUUAUCCGGAUUUAUUGGGUGUAAAGGGUGCGUAGACGGGAAGUCAAGUUGGUUGUGAAAUCCCUCGGCUUAACUGAGGAACUGCAACCAAAACUAACUUUCUUGAGUGCUGGAGAGGAAAGUGGAAUUCCUAGUGUAGCGGUGAAAUGCGUAGAUAUUAGGAGGAACACCAGUGGCGAAGGCGACUUUCUGGACAGUAACUGACGUUGAGGCACGAAAGUGUGGGGAGCAAACAGGAUUAGAUACCCUGGUAGUC
Molecule: ribosomal RNA, 442 nt
Filed under: uncultured bacterium
Lineage: Bacteria
Description: partial 16S ribosomal RNA
Rfam family: Bacterial small subunit ribosomal RNA
Source: RNAcentral